This is a non-coding RNA of Vicia faba (fava bean), 495 nucleotides long. The record is from the annotation of a GenBank genome assembly. Lineage: Eukaryota; Viridiplantae; Streptophyta; Magnoliopsida; Fabales; Fabaceae.
AUGAAGAAUCACCACCAAAAAAUAUCUGAGAACUCUCUCUCCCUCUGCUUUCUGCUUCAUCCUCUUCAAAGUUCUUGUCUAAUCUCAAUUUUUCAGCGAUCAUCCUUCUGCAAAAUCACUGGAAAAACUUCUAAAACUAUCUCUCUGCAAGGGGAACUGAAUCUUGAUUUUUUUUACUUCGUCUUCCACAAAUCUGCAAGAACCAGAUCCAUCUCUGCAUUACGUUUGGGACCUUCAUCAUCACUGCUUUGCAACAAUUCGGAAACCUUCAAUCAUCUUCAACCAACACUCUUUCUCUUCAAACCUUUGCAACCUUCAUUAAUCACCAUCAGUUCUUCAAUAUUCAACGUCCCUCUCACCUUCAACAAUCCGCAACUACUUCACAUCUUCCUCUUUCAUUCUUCAAUCGACAAACACUUAUGCAUCAUUCAUCAUCACCUUCUACGAAUCUUCCAUACAUCUUCAUCAUCUUCCGAAAAUUCAUCGCAUAAUUGA